AGUGAACGCUGGCGGUAGGCCUAACACAUGCAAGUCGAACGGCAGCACAGUAAGUUCUUGCUCUUACGGGUGGCGAGUGGCGGACGGGUGAGGAAUACAUCGGAAUCUACUUUUUCGUGGGGGAUAACGUAGGGAAACUUACGCUAAUACCGCAUACGCCCUACGGGUGAAAGCAGGGGAUCUUCGGACCUUGCGCGAUUGAAUGAGCCGAUGUCGGAUUAGCUAGUUGGCGGGGUAAAGGCCCAGCAAGGCGGCGAUCCGUAGCUGGAGUGUGAGGAUGGUCGGCGGCACUGGAGGGGGACCACGGUCCAGACGCCUGCGGUAGGCAGCAGACGGGAAUAUGGGACAAUGGGGGCGAGCCUGAUCCAGCCGUACCGCGUGGGUGGAGAAGGCGUUCGGGUUGUAAAGCCCUUUUUUUGGGAGAGAAAAGCAGCAGGUUAAUACGACGCGGUUCUGACGGUACCCAAAGAAGAAGCACCGGCUAACUUCGUG
RNAcentral lists this ribosomal RNA (492 nucleotides) under uncultured bacterium. Its description in RNAcentral is "partial 16S ribosomal RNA". It matches the Rfam family "Bacterial small subunit ribosomal RNA", at positions 30 to 507 of the family's 1533-position model. The record is from RNAcentral.